GAUGAACGCUGGCGGCGUGCCUAAUACAUGCAAGUCGAGCGAACGGACGAGAAGCUUGCUUUUCUGAUGUUAGCGGCGGACGGGUGAGUAACACGUGGAUAACCUACCUAUAAGACUGGGAUAACUUCGGGAAACCGGAGCUAAUACCGGAUAAUAUUUUGAACCGCAUGGUUCAAAAGUGAAAGACGGUCUUGCUGUCACUUAUAGAUGGAUCCGCGCUGCAUUAGCUAGUUGGUAAGGUAACGGCUUACCAAGGCAACGAUGCAUAGCCGACCUGAGAGGGUGAUCGGCCACAGUGGAACGGAAACCAGGUCCAGACCCCUAGGGGGGGCAGCAGUAGGGAAUUUGCCGCAAUGGGCGAAAGCCUGACGGAGCAACGCCGGGGGGGUGAUGAAGGUCUUCGGAUCGUAAAACUCUGUUAUUAGGGAAGAACAUAUGUGUAAGUAACUGUGCACAUCUUGACGGUACCUAAUCAGAAAGCCACGGCUAACUACGU
RNAcentral lists this ribosomal RNA (496 nucleotides) under uncultured bacterium. RNAcentral's name for it is "partial 16S ribosomal RNA". It matches the Rfam family "Bacterial small subunit ribosomal RNA", at positions 28 to 506 of the family's 1533-position model. The record is from RNAcentral.